UUCCGAGCAAGCACGCCGCAGGAAUUUGCACCGAUGGUGAUCCAUCACUCUUAGCCCAGUUCCAUUUGCGGCGAUUGUGCUCAAGCGGCCGUCUCCCCGACACAAAUUGCUGGGAGUAAGCUGUGCGCCUCUGUUGGUAGGGAGCGCCGACAACCUGCUCGCUGGAAUGCCUCGCCGAAUGGUCAUGGCUCAUAAGGGAUUUUGGGGCAAGGGGGCCUGGCUGCUACGGCCGUUGCUACUUCGCAGGCACCAACGGGACAAGCUACGGCCUGUGGCAUCGCACUGGGAGUUCGCUGCUUCAGUGCUUCUACUACUUCAAACACAAGGAAUGCCCUCCUCUGGGUGUGGACAAACCAAGCCCAUGACCCGAACAGAUCGCUCGCUUUUCGCAGAAGCAAGGGUUUGGAGGUCCCUUCGAACAUGUUGUACUUUCUCCUUUACCUUUUCCUUUUGUUGAACUUCUUUCUGUAUGCGCACCAGCUAUUAUUUUUCAGUUGUGGAGUUAACGUGGUACA
Panicum hallii is the source of this 515-nucleotide long non-coding RNA. RefSeq lists it as uncharacterized. The transcript has 2 exons. Lineage: Eukaryota; Viridiplantae; Streptophyta; Magnoliopsida; Poales; Poaceae. The record is from RefSeq and is a predicted model, not a curated record.